GAUGAACGCUGGCGGCGUGCCUAAUACAUGCAAGUCGAGCGAACAGACGAGGAACUUGCUCCUCUGACGUUAGCGGCGAACGGGUGAGUAACACGUGCAUAACCUACCUAUAAGACUGGGAUAACUUCGGGAAACCUGAGCUAAUACCGCAUAAUAUAUUGAACCGCAUUGUUCAAUAGUUAAAGACGUUUUUGCUUUCACUUAUAGAUGGAUCCGCUCCGCUUUGGCUAGUGGGUAAGGUAACGGCUUACCAAGGCAACGAUGCGUAGCCAACCUGAGGGGGUGACAGGCCAAACUGGACGUGAGACACGGUACAGACUCCUACGGGAGGCAGCGGUAGGGAAUCUUCCGCAAUGGGAGAAAGCCUAACGGAGCACCGCCGCGUGAGUGAUGAAGGUAUGCGGCUCGUAAAACUAUGUUAUUAGGGAAGAACAAAUGUGUAAGUAACUAUGCACGUCUUGACGGUACCAAAUCAGAAAGCCACGGCUAACUCCGUG
RNAcentral lists this ribosomal RNA (497 nucleotides) under uncultured bacterium. RNAcentral describes it as "partial 16S ribosomal RNA". It matches the Rfam family "Bacterial small subunit ribosomal RNA", at positions 28 to 507 of the family's 1533-position model. The record is from RNAcentral.